RNAcentral lists this small RNA (511 nucleotides) under Pan troglodytes (chimpanzee). RNAcentral's name for it is "processed transcript". Lineage: Eukaryota; Metazoa; Chordata; Mammalia; Primates; Hominidae. The record is from RNAcentral.
UCUGACUGGCUGUUCAGCCUAGGCUGCACACGCCCCCACUUUCCUCUACCAGGCCACACCGGAGGCAGUGCUCACACAGGCAAGCUACCAGGCCACAACAACGACACCCACCUCACCUCUGGCACCUCUGAGCAUCCACGUACUUGCAAGAACUCUUGCUCACAUCAGCUAAGAGAUUGCACCUGCUGACCUAGAGAUUCCGGCCUGUGCUCCUGUGCUGCUGAGCAGACUGCAGCGUGGGGGACCCUGGGCACCCUCAGGACCUUCUUGAACUUCAGCGUGGACAAGGAUGCGCAGAGGCUACUGAGGGCCAUUACUGGCCAAGGCGUGGACCGCAGUGCCAUUGUGGACGUGCUGACCAACCGGAGCAGAGAGCAAAGGCAGCUCAUCUCACGAAACUUCCAGGAGCGCACCCAACAGGACCUGAUGAAGUCUCUACAGGCAGCACUUUCCGGCAACCUGGAGAGGAUUGUGAUGGCUCUGCUGCAGCCCACAGCCCAGUUUGACGCCC